UGAACGUGGAAUCGCUAGUAACCGCAGGUCAGCACACUGCGGUGAAUACGUUCCCGGGCCUUGUACACACCGCCCGUCACGUCAUGGAAGCCGAGAACGCUUGAAGUCGUUGAGCUAACCCUUUUUGGGAGGCAAACGCCGAGGGCGGGCUUGGUGACUGGGACGAAGUCGUAACAAGGUAGCUGUACCGGAAGGUGCGGCUGGAUCACCUCCUUUUAGGGAG
RNAcentral lists this ribosomal RNA (223 nucleotides) under Dehalococcoidia bacterium. Its description in RNAcentral is "partial 16S ribosomal RNA". It matches the Rfam family "Bacterial small subunit ribosomal RNA", at positions 1321 to 1533 of the family's 1533-position model. The record is from RNAcentral. Lineage: Bacteria; Bacillati; Chloroflexota; Dehalococcoidia.